UUUCCCUUAAAAGUAUUAAGGAACAAACAUCAUUUCAGAAAAAAUUUCAACUUAAAAAAAGUACUUUUUGGCAGAUGAAAAAGUUGAAAGUUUUAACUUUUUCUUCAGCCAAAAGUGCUUUUGGCUCCUAUUUACAUUUUUAACCUUAGUUUGUUUUCUCCCAAAAAAAACGUUAGAAUACCCAUUUUUUUCACAUUUUCUCUUUCAAAAUUCUUUUCCCUGGUUCUUUGUUCCUCUUUUAAUUCCUCCGCCGGAAGAGGUUGCUAGAGAGUUUAGCAUAACAAUGCAAUUUCAGCGAUUCUGGUUGUGGGCCAAGCGUCAAAACCAUACCUAUCGUCCAAACCGACCAUUGACACCUUUGGAGGAAACUUAAUUUGUAAUAUUCCUCAACAUAAAUUAUUAUACCCUGAUUCAAAAGUCUUGUUUGAGGAGUAUUGGUUUAUAGAUUUAGCUUCAGUCAUUGUUCAGCGUAGUAUUGGAUUUAAUUAAUAUGUUGUCUUCAUUUGUCCUGCUUUGCUUUGCAUGCCUCUCUCUUUCACUCUGUUCGUGUGUUGAAUGAAUAUAUAUGUACAGACACACAUGUACUUAAAUAUCAAUAAUUUUUCUUUAAAAAACAAAGAAUGAUCAAGGAAGAUGUGAUCUUUUCUUUAGUUAAAUAAUCAUGCUUGUCGCCUACCUGCGAAAUAACAUUUGGUUGCGGUGAGGACUUGUAUUUUUUGUCGCGCUGUCUUGCAAGUAUUUCAUCAAACACGUAAGGCCAUUUUCUUAGUUUUCUUUAGUGAGUACUGCAUGUUGUUGUUGUUUUUAAUUGUUUGGUGGUAAUUAUUUUAGGUUUUGGAGAUUUAAUGUUGGUAUUAAUAUAUAUACAUACAUAGAAAUACUUGUCUUUUAGUACAUUGAAUUCGGUGUACCAUUUCUUUUCUUUUGAUUAGUUAUUGGACACCUACUAAUCUUGGUCACAUGAGGUCAUGUUUGAUUGCUUGGUUAUUUUCUUUUUCAUUGUGGAGGUGUCUACUUAAAUAUUUUUAUUAAUAUGAAGUGGUUUAAAAAUUAUAAACCAUAUAAAAUACUUUAUAAAAUAUAAUAAAAAUACGUGACAGUAAAUUAAAACUGUUAGAGAUAACUAGUUUCAGAGCAUGAUGAGUACAGAUGGCGACAAACAUUAAUCAUAGCUCAUAAAUUAUAAACCCUUGCCUAUUAUCUUCUCUUUCAAAUUAUUUUCUCUUUAGAUUUCAACCAUGUUUUGCUGAUAGCGAAUGGUAUUUUAUUUAAACCAUCUUUUAAUUUAAACAUUAAUUAUAGAUUAAUUAAGAAAGGUGAUAGGAAUGGUAUUUUAUCAGUCAAAUCUAUAUAAAAUUUUAAUUAUAACAAGUACACUUUUAUCUAAUUAUUUUAUCAGUCAAAUCUAUAUUCAAUACUUGUAUUAAACAUGUUCUUUUAUAUACUGUAUUAUUCCUAUGAUUUAAACCAGAAACGUGAAUUUUUGUUUUUUUUAUUCAAAUUCAUACCAGAAUUGAAGUAAACAAGUUUAUGCAUUUGUGGAGUUGGCAACCAUUGAUAUAAAACAAUGCAUUUUCUGUUUUAGAAGCUGACGACUAGUGUCAAUCUUAUAGUUGCGUUUGGCUAUAAAUCCACUAAAAUAAUAAACAAUGAAAAAUUCACAAUAUUCAUGGUUAUGAUACCACAUAUUUUAAUUGCUUUUGGUUGAAAAAUCAAUUAGAAAAUGUUUAAGCCAUUAAAAUUUAUGUUUAAUUAUUUUGUUCUACAAUGUGGGUAAUAAAUGCAAGUCUAGAUUCUAGAAGUAGGAGAGAUCAACAUUUCAAAUUUUAUCCUAUCUUUUAUUUUUAUUUAAUUUAUUAUUUUGUUAUAAUUAAACUAGAUGGGGCCAUUGAUUUCUUAUUUUUAGAUUUCAUGAUUAGGUAAAAAAUAAUUGAUAAAAUAUUGGUUAUACUGACUUUUUAAUUGUGUUUGAUUCGGUCUUGGAAAGUUGAUUUUGAUUGAGAAAAAAAAAUCUUAGGAUCCUAUCUUGAUUUUGAUACACAUGUAAAAAAUAUACUUAUGUGACAUUUGAUUUUCUUGAUUGCUUUACUGGCUGAAACAAAUAUGUUCAUAUACACAAUAGAUGAGUACUUUGGCAGUUAAAGUUAGUGGUGAAAAGUCAAAGCAAUGUGGGAUAAGAGAUUGAUAGAAAUAUUUGGUAAUAUUUGUAUUAAAGAGAUAUUGAAAGGCAAUAGGACUAGUACUCAUUUCACAAAAGAUGGAUGAUUGAAAAUAAUGACCAACUUUGAGAAAGAAACGGGCAAGGCUUUUUCACAAAGACAAAUUAAAAAUAGGUGGGAUACCCUAAAAAAAGAAUGGAAAGCUUGAAAGAAACUUAAAGGCGAAAAUAUUGGUCUAGGGUGGAAUCCUAUAAAAAGAACCAUUGAUGCAUCGGAUGAUUGGUGGGAGAGUAGGCUAAAGAUUGUGCCUGAAGCUCAAAAAUUUAGAACAUCGAGCAUUGAUUCUGAAUUCGAAGGGAAGUUGGACCAAAUGUUCAUGGGGAUAGUUGCAACAGGUGAUAAAGCAUGGGCACCUUCUUCUGGUACACUCCGUAGUAAUUUUUUUAGGAUGUUAACAACGAAAUACCUGAAGAGAAUGAAGAAGAAAAUGUGAGAAAUGAUGUUCACAUUUCAAAUGAUGUUCAAAUUGAUGGAAAUGGUCAAAAAAUAAAAAAAAACCCUGAAAUAUCAAGUUCACAUUUUAAAACUGGAAGAAAGAAAUCCCUCAAAAGAAAUUGAAGGGGCUGCAAGAUUGUCCAAUCAAAUAGAAAAAUUAUGCAAUGCAGUUGACAAUAUGAGUCAAGCCACAUCUAGUUUGACUCCUAUUAUGGAUCCAUAUGGUAUUCCACAAGCAAUCAAAGUGCUUGAUAGUAUGUCGAAAGAAGUUCCAGAAGCUAGUCUGCUAUACUUUUUCGCACUUAAAUUAUUGCUCAAUAAAAACAGGCGAAUUAUGUUUUUUAUCAAUUAAUCCCAAGAUUAAAGCUUUGUGGCUUAAGAUGGAAAUGGAGGAUAGAUGAAAAUUUUCUGAUCUUUUAGGGUUCAGAGAUAUCUAUUAUGUGACUAAACAACAAUGCUAAACUAGUUUUAUCAAUAGUUAUUUAUGUUUGGUUUUUUGAUAUUGAA
This is a long non-coding RNA of Gossypium raimondii (Peruvian cotton), 3161 nucleotides long. RefSeq lists it as uncharacterized. The transcript has 3 exons. The record is from RefSeq and is a predicted model, not a curated record. Lineage: Eukaryota; Viridiplantae; Streptophyta; Magnoliopsida; Malvales; Malvaceae.